Mastomys coucha (southern multimammate mouse) is the source of this 434-nucleotide long non-coding RNA. RefSeq lists it as uncharacterized. The record is from RefSeq and is a predicted model, not a curated record. The transcript has 3 exons. Lineage: Eukaryota; Metazoa; Chordata; Mammalia; Rodentia; Muridae.
AUAGAAACUCCAAGAAAACAGGUCUUAAUGAGAUCAGGAACAGCAAGCACAUGAGGCAUUUCUGGAUUGCAAGUGUGCACCAUAUCCAGAUUUUAUGUGGGUUCUAAGGAUCAACUUCCAUCCAUCGUAGGAUCAUACCACCUCCUCACCCUUCCCCCAGCCUGGUGCAGGCUGAUUCAGACCUUGCUCUGCCACAGUCCACUAGCACACCUACCAUGGAGCCUUCUGAUCUAGGUGAAGUCUAUUGUCCUGACACUUCUGCAGCUUCCUGAAAGAAGCCACCACCUACUGACUUACUGAGUCUGUCUGCUUGCUGGAGCUCCUGACAACCAACAAGACUCUGAUAAAGCAAUGAGAUCCUGGCACUGAGGGGGAUGGGUCCCCUCCCUUUAUAUACUCAGACUCCUAAGUAAACAUUGGGCUUUGAUCAGAAA